UGACAACCCUCCUUGUGUGGAACCU
RNAcentral lists this non-coding RNA (25 nucleotides) under Rattus norvegicus (Norway rat). The record is from RNAcentral. Lineage: Eukaryota; Metazoa; Chordata; Mammalia; Rodentia; Muridae.